UGGCCUACGGGAGGCAGCAGUGAGGAAUAUUGGUCAAUGGCCGUAAGGCUGAACCAGCCAAGUAGCGUGAGGGAAGACUGCCCUAUGGGUUGUAAACCUCUUUUAUGCGGGGAUAAAGGUGUCCACGUGUGGAUGUUUGCAGGUACCGCAUGAAUAAGGACCGGCUAAUUCCGUGCCAGCAGCCGCGGUAAUACGGAGGAUGCGAGCGUUAUCCGGAUUUAUUGGGUUUAAAGGGUGCGUAGGCGGUCCGUUAAGUCAGCGGUAAAAUUGCGGGGCUCAACCCCGUCGAGCCGUUGAAACUGUCA
Molecule: ribosomal RNA, 305 nt
Filed under: uncultured bacterium
Lineage: Bacteria
Description: bacterial SSU rRNA
Rfam family: Bacterial small subunit ribosomal RNA
Source: RNAcentral